This 820-nucleotide long non-coding RNA is filed under the name Equus caballus (horse). Its description in RNAcentral is "lncRNA (ENSECAG00000044156.1)". Lineage: Eukaryota; Metazoa; Chordata; Mammalia; Perissodactyla; Equidae. The record is from RNAcentral.
GAAUUAAUUAAGAGCCCAGUAAAGAGAAGGGAUCUCCCCUGCUAUUUGGCCAAGAAGUCCCCUAAAAUAUUUAUAUAACUUCCUUGGAUUUUAUUCCCCUCCCUCGUGGCUAGUCCCAUUUUUUCAAGUUCCUAUUAAGAUAGACUUCCAUCAGUCAUAUCCUUUUGUUUCUCGUAGCUCAUCUCUCUUAGAUACAAGAUCAGAAUGAUAUUCACGACACCCAAGUCACACUCCUGAUGGGUCAGGAUAAUUGCCCUUGGGAUCCUUCCCUCACAGGCUUCCUGUGAGACUCAGGUUAUACUGAGGGAAGUUGAAUGUAUGAAUCGCCUCCUACCCGGUUUUAAUUACCCCAUUGAUGCAGACCACCACAGGAGCUUCUAAAUACACAUGCACCAGCUUUGCAUGCCCUUAAAACCAAAUCCAGGGAUGUCAGCAAAAUGGCAGAAUAGGCAGUUCCAAGCUCUUGUCUCUCCACAGAAAUGCUGAAAAACAAGCAGAAACUGGCAGAAUCAACUUUGUCAGAACUCUGGAAAACAGUCAAAGGUUUACAGUGACCAGGGCUACCUGAAAUACUGAUGCAAGAGUCUGGUUUGCCCAACUUAGAACUCACUCAGGACAGAAAAGUGGCCAGUGUUACUUAGAAACAUUGUAAGGUGAUCAACAACCCACAGUCACCUGGAGCUAAAGAUGACAGCUGAGACACAACAGACUGCCUAAAGCCUGUGAAGAAAAGCUGGAGAGAGUUUUUUGGAGAAAGCAGGGUGUGGAAAAGCACUCAAGUAUACUGAGGAAUUUAGAAAGCCAUACACAUGCCCAGGGC